AGCUGCGGCGGCUAUGUACGGGCACGCUUCGGCGUGGUCGAGGUGCUAGGGACUCGAUAUUCCUACCCCGUACAUGGCUGCCACCCUG
Molecule: non-coding RNA, 88 nt
Filed under: Pseudomonas sp. WPR_5_2
Lineage: Bacteria; Pseudomonadati; Pseudomonadota; Gammaproteobacteria; Pseudomonadales; Pseudomonadaceae
Source: RNAcentral